UUUGACGACAUUUUAGUCUACAGUGCCUCUCUUGAAGAUCACACAAUCCACUUGCAAUCAGUGCUUGAGUUGUUAAGAAGGGAUCAAUGGUAAGUCAAACGCUCAAAGUGCUCUUUCGCUCAACGCCAGUUAUCCUAUUUGGGCCAUAGUAUCAGCCAGCAUGGGGUUGCCACUGAAACCCACAAAAUUAAGAACAUUGCCAACUGGUCUUCUCCGCAAUCAGUCAAAGAAGUCCGCAUCUUCUUAGGUUUGGCCGGCUAUUACAGGCGCUUCGUUCGCCAUUUCGGCAUCAUUGCAAAGCCACUGACACAUCUCCAGAAGAAACAUGGGGAGAUCCUGAGCUUUGAGGCAACUAAAGAAACAGGAUGCUUUUCAGUUAUAUUUAAGAACAGAAGAGGAAGACAAAGCAACCCUAGGAUUUCUCUGCUCCCAGUGCUUAAUACGAAAAGCUCGACAUAA
RNAcentral lists this ribosomal RNA (459 nucleotides) under Triticum aestivum (bread wheat). RNAcentral's name for it is "partial small subunit ribosomal RNA". Lineage: Eukaryota; Viridiplantae; Streptophyta; Magnoliopsida; Poales; Poaceae. The record is from RNAcentral.